UUCCCUGUGUCCGAACCACCCCGCUGCCAGGAUCCCCUCAGGAUCACUUUGGGAACAGUUUGGGAUCAGACCCCGUCUCCUCAAACCAGUGGGCACCAGUUUGGUGGUGCUGGAGGAUCCUCGGGAUGAGGGGAAGGAGCAGGUGAUCCAGGCACAGGGGGGGGGCAGAGCCUGACGAGGAUCCAAAGGUCACCAGGAGCCACUUUAUGGAGGGUUCAACGGCACAGCCACACCUGGCACUCCGGGAUGGCUGCGUGCCGGGAAAAACCCGGAUCAUGGGCUCUGCCCACUCUGGAAUGUCUCAGCAACACCAAACCAAACACUCAUAAGGUGGGAGAGGCCCCGUGGAAUGGGGCCAGGCCUCAUCCGGGGCAGUGGGACACCUUGGAGAGCACUCCCAGGGCUGACCCGGAUGUCCUUGUGUGUGGGUGUCACGAGUUUCGGGGACUCAGCUCCCACACAGGCUCCAUCCCCAGUGUCCCAGAGGGUGGCACUUCUCCAGGCUCCCAUUCCAUGAGGCAUCCAGGAUUCUCCAGCUACCCACAGACCUGGUGCUCCCUGGAGUCCUUUCCUACAACCGGGCAUGGGAUACAUGGAGAGGUCCAACAAGCCCUGUACCCAUGGAAUAGCAGCCAGCAGGGCAGGAUGGGUGCCAGGGAGGCAGCGAAAUCAGAGCAUCAAAUCCAGCAAUGAAGGUGAUGUCAAGGAUUUGCCUUUCCCGGGAUUUAUUCCAUCAUUCCUGCUCUCAGGCUCCGGGAAACUUGCACCUUCUGCAGAUGUGCUGCCUGAUUAAAAUGAUGCAACAUA
Molecule: long non-coding RNA, 807 nt
Organism: Pipra filicauda (Wire-tailed manakin)
Lineage: Eukaryota; Metazoa; Chordata; Aves; Passeriformes; Pipridae
Exons: 3
Source: RefSeq, a predicted model, not a curated record